UGGUGGGUAGUUUGACUGGGGCGGUCUCCUCCUAAAGAGUAACGGAGGAGCACGAAGGUUGGCUAAUCCUGGUCGGACAUCAGGAGGUUAGUGCAAUGGCAUAAGCCAGCUUGACUGCGAGCGUGACGGCGCGAGCAGGUGCGAAAGCAGGUCAUAGUGAUCCGGUGGUUCUGAAUGGAAGGGCCAUCGCUCAACGGAUAAAAGGUACUCCGGGGAUAACAGGCUGAUACCGCCCAAGAGUUCAUAUCGACGGCGGUGUUUGGCACCUCGAUGUCGGCUCAUCACAUCCUGGGGCUGAAGUAGGUCCCAAGGGUAUGGCUGUUCGCCAUUUAAAGUGGUACGCGAGCUGGGUUUAGAACGUCGUGAGACAGUUCGGUCCCUAUCUGCCGUGGGCGCUGGAGAACUGAGGGGGGCUGCUCCUAGUACGAGAGGACCGGAGUGGACGCAUCACUGGUGUUCGGGUUGUCAUGCCAAUGGCACUGCCCGGUAGCUAAAUGCGGAAGAGAUAAGUGCUGAAAGCAUCUAAGCACGAAACUUGCCCCGAGAUGAGUUCUCCCUGAGACUUAGAGUCUCCUGAAGGAACGUUGAAGACGACGACGUUGAUAGGCCGGGUGUGUAAGCGCAGCGAUGCGUUGAGCUAACCGGUACUAAUGA
This 654-nucleotide ribosomal RNA is filed under the name Salmonella enterica subsp. enterica serovar Reading. RNAcentral describes it as "partial 23S ribosomal RNA". It matches the Rfam family "Bacterial large subunit ribosomal RNA", at positions 2259 to 2907 of the family's 2925-position model. The record is from RNAcentral. RNAcentral also lists the same sequence under 3 other names. Lineage: Bacteria; Pseudomonadati; Pseudomonadota; Gammaproteobacteria; Enterobacterales; Enterobacteriaceae.